GUCCCUGUAGCACAAUGGAUAGUGCGUUGGAAUUCUUAUUCAAAGAUCGUGGGUUUGAAUCCCACCUGGGAUG
RNAcentral lists this transfer RNA (73 nucleotides) under Trichonephila inaurata madagascariensis. It matches the Rfam family "tRNA". Rfam says of the family: Transfer RNA (tRNA) molecules are approximately 80 nucleotides in length. Their secondary structure includes four short double-helical elements and three loops (D, anti-codon, and T loops). Lineage: Eukaryota; Metazoa; Arthropoda; Arachnida; Araneae; Nephilidae. The record is from Rfam by way of RNAcentral.